AGUCCAUGGUGUGGGCAUUUUCUUAGAAGUUCUUAAACUAUCUCAUGCUUCAUGUAAAGAGUCCCCAUCCUAUUGAAGAAAAGAACUAAUUUCAGUCAUU
This 100-nucleotide small nucleolar RNA is filed under the name Helianthus annuus (common sunflower). Its description in RNAcentral is "Plant small nucleolar RNA R71". It matches the Rfam family "Plant small nucleolar RNA R71". Rfam says of the family: R71 is a member of the C/D box family of snoRNAs containing the C (UGAUGA) and D (CUGA) box motifs. Multiple nearly identical copies of this snoRNA have been identified in Arabidopsis, and it is thought to function as a 2'-O-ribose methylation guide for 18S ribosomal RNA. Lineage: Eukaryota; Viridiplantae; Streptophyta; Magnoliopsida; Asterales; Asteraceae. The record is from RNAcentral.